GUGGGGAAUUUUGGACAAUGGGGGCAACCCUGAUCCAGCCAUGCCGCGUGCGGGAAGAAGGCCUUCGGGUUGUAAACCGCUUUUGUCAGGGAAGAAAUCCUUUGGGUUAAUACCUCGGAGGGAUGACGGUACCUGAAGAAUAAGCACCGGCUAACUACGUGCCAGCAGCCGCGGUAAUACGUAGGGUGCGAGCGUUAAUCGAAAUUACUGGGCGUAAAGCGUGCGCAGGCGGUUUUGUAAGAUCGAUGUGAAAUCCCCGGGCUCAACCUGGGAACUGCAUUGGUGACUGCAAGGCUGGAGUGCGGCAGAGGGGGAUGGAAUUCCGCGUGUAGCAGUGAAAUGCGUAGAUAUGCGGAGGAACACCGAUGGCGAAGGCAAUCCCCUGGGCCUGCACUGACGCUCAUGCACGAAAGCGUGGGGAGCAAACAGGAUUAGAAACCCUGGUAGUCC
RNAcentral lists this ribosomal RNA (450 nucleotides) under uncultured bacterium. RNAcentral's name for it is "partial 16S ribosomal RNA". It matches the Rfam family "Bacterial small subunit ribosomal RNA", at positions 354 to 796 of the family's 1533-position model. The record is from RNAcentral.